RNAcentral lists this unclassified non-coding RNA (89 nucleotides) under Pseudomonas mediterranea. Lineage: Bacteria; Pseudomonadati; Pseudomonadota; Gammaproteobacteria; Pseudomonadales; Pseudomonadaceae. The record is from RNAcentral.
UGUGGGAGCGAGCCUGCUCGCGAUGGCGGCGGUACAUUCAACAUUUCUGUAGCAGAUACACCGCUAUCGCGAGCAGGCUCGCUCCCACA